This 73-nucleotide transfer RNA is filed under the name Actinomadura sp. NBRC 104412. RNAcentral's name for it is "tRNA-Phe". It matches the Rfam family "tRNA". Rfam says of the family: Transfer RNA (tRNA) molecules are approximately 80 nucleotides in length. Their secondary structure includes four short double-helical elements and three loops (D, anti-codon, and T loops). Lineage: Bacteria; Bacillati; Actinomycetota; Actinomycetes; Streptosporangiales; Thermomonosporaceae. The record is from RNAcentral.
GGUCCUUUAGCUCAUGCAGUAGAGCACCGGUUUGAAAGGCCGGGGGACGAGGUGCGAGCCCUCGGGGGACCAC